Long non-coding RNA from Haliotis rubra (blacklip abalone), 100 nucleotides. RefSeq lists it as uncharacterized. The record is from RefSeq and is a predicted model, not a curated record. The transcript has 3 exons. NCBI's taxonomy places the organism in Eukaryota, Metazoa, Mollusca, Gastropoda, Lepetellida, Haliotidae.
UGGCAACUAUGAGCCGAAAAUGAAAUACAAAUACGGGAAGAACGAGCAGAACUACGCAAAAAGGAGAUCGAAGCUCUGCAAGACAGUUUCGCAGAAGCCA